This 450-nucleotide ribosomal RNA is filed under the name uncultured bacterium. RNAcentral's name for it is "bacterial SSU rRNA". It matches the Rfam family "Bacterial small subunit ribosomal RNA", at positions 354 to 796 of the family's 1533-position model. The record is from RNAcentral.
GUGGGGAAUCUUCCGCAAUGGACGAAAGUCUGACGGAGCAACGCCGCGUGAACGAUGAAGGUCUUCGGAUUGUAAAGUUCUGUGAUCCGGGACGAAGGCAUCAGUUGAGAACAUUGAUUGAUGUUGACGGUACCGGAAAAGCAAGCCACGGCUAACUACGUGCCAGCAGCCGCGGUAAUACGUAGGUGGCAAGCGUUGUCCGGAAUUAUUGGGCGUAAAGCGCGCGCAGGCGGCCGUGCAAGUCCAUCUUAAAAGCGUGGGGCUUAACCCCAUGAGGGGAUGGAAACUGCAGGGCUGGAGUGUCGGAGGGGAAAGUGGAAUUCCUAGUGUAGCGGUGAAAUGCGUAGAGAUUAGGAAGAACACCGGUGGCGAAGGCGACUUUCUAGACGACAACUGACGCUGAGGCGCGAAAGCGUGGGGAGCAAACAGGAUUAGAAACCCCAGUAGUCC